AUCUCAUUAUAUUGUUGCAACAGUAACUGCAAUUUAUCAUUCUCCUCAGAGAUAAGUGUGGCCCCUUCUCCUGCAGCUGCAGGUUGAAUGUCAAAUGAUGAAGCACCUGCUGUUGUUGAAGAAUUCAGUACAUACAGUAGUGGGGACUAGAAAUUCAUCCUUUUCUUCUGAAAGAAACUCUCAACAGAACAUAAAACAGGUGUUGACCCUACCUUCCCUACUCCCAGCAAUACCACUUUUUCCCCUUCCUUUCUAAAAGAAAUUUAGAAGCCUUGAAAUCAAAUAA
RNAcentral lists this unclassified non-coding RNA (286 nucleotides) under Hevea brasiliensis (rubber tree). The record is from RNAcentral. Lineage: Eukaryota; Viridiplantae; Streptophyta; Magnoliopsida; Malpighiales; Euphorbiaceae.